RNAcentral lists this ribosomal RNA (508 nucleotides) under uncultured bacterium. Its description in RNAcentral is "bacterial SSU rRNA". It matches the Rfam family "Bacterial small subunit ribosomal RNA", at positions 15 to 518 of the family's 1533-position model. The record is from RNAcentral.
GAUUAUGGCUCAGGAUAAACGCUAGCGGCAGGCCUAACACAUGCAAGUCGAGCGGCAGCGGGAGUAGCAAUACUGCCGGCGAGCGGCGGACGGGUGAGUAACGCGUAUGCAACCUGCCCACCACACGGAGAUAGCCGACCGAAAGGACGAUUAAACUCCGAUGGCAUUGGGAACCGGCAUCGGUAUCCAAUUAAAUAUUUAUAGGUGGUGGAUGGGCAUGCGUGGCAUUAGUUAGUUGGCGGGGCAACGGCCCACCAAGACGAUGAUGCCUAUGGGUUCUAAAAGGAAGGUCCCACACAUCGGUACUGAGACACGGACCGAACUCCUACGGGAGGCAGCAGUGAGGAAUAUUGGACAAUGGGGGCAACCCUGAUCCAGCCAAACCGCGUGGUGGAAAGGAGGUCGUUAAGAUCGUAAACACCUUUUAUAUGGGAAUAAUACACAUCACGUGUGGUGUGUUGAAUGUACCAUUUGAAUAAGCAUCGGCUAACUCCGUGCCAGCCGCCGC